GGAGCGCCAGAGCUGCUAAGUGCGUCAGUUGUGGAGAGGCGUAGACGAGUUAAGUCCUGGUCUGCGUGGAGGUCGACGACUCCGUCGCAGACUACGGACCUGUCUGGGUCUCAGCCGCCAAAGACCCCGUCCGGUAGGAAGUACUAGCCGGACAUCAUGAGUGGCUGUCGAGUAUUCAUCGGGAGACUAAAUCCAGCGGCCAGGGAGAAGGACGUGGAAAGAUUCUUCAAGGGAUAUGGACGGAUAAGAGAUAUUGAUCUGAAAAGAGGCUUUGGUUUUGUGGAAUUUGAGGAUCCGAGGGAUGCAGAUGAUGCUGUGUAUGAGCUUGAUGGAAAAGAACUCUGUAGUGAAAGGGUUACUAUUGAACAUGCUAGGGCUCGGUCACGAGGUGGAAGAGGUAGAGGACGAUACUCUGACCGUUUUAGUAGUCGCAGACCUCGAAAUGAUAGACGAAAUGCUCCACCUGUAAGAACAGAAAAUCGUCUUAUAGUUGAGAAUUUAUCCUCAAGAGUCAGCUGGCAGGAUCUCAAAGAUUUCAUGAGACAAGCUGGGGAAGUAACGUUUGCGGAUGCACACCGACCUAAAUUAAAUGAAGGGGUGGUUGAGUUUGCCUCUUAUGGUGACUUAAAGAAUGCUAUUGAAAAACUUUCUGGAAAGGAAAUAAAUGGGAGAAAAAUAAAAUUAAUUGAAGGCAGCAAAAGGCACAGGUCAAGAAGCAGGUCUCGAUCCCGGACCAGAAGUUCUUCUAGGUCUCGUAGCCGAUCCCGUUCCCGUAGUCGCAAAUCUUACAGCCGGUCAAGGAGCAGGAGCAGGAGCCGGAGCCGGAGCAAGUCCCGUUCUGUUAGUAGGUCUCCCGUGCCUGAGAAGAGCCAGAAACGUGGUUCUUCAAGUAGAUCUAAGUCUCCAGCAUCUGUGGAUCGCCAGAGGUCCCGGUCCCGAUCAAGGUCCAGAUCAGUUGACAGUGGCAAUUAAACUGUAAAUAACUUGCCCUGGGGGCCUUUUUUUAAAAAACAAAAACCACAAAAAUUCCCAAACCAUACUUGCUAAAAAUUCUGACGGGGUCUUUCUCUGUUGCUAGGCUGGAUGGAGCGCAGUGGUGCUAUCUCGGCUCACUGCAGCCUCUGCCUCUGGGGUUCAAGCGAUCUCCUGCCUCAGCCUCCCGAGUAGCUGGGACUACAGGUGUGUGCCACCAUGCCUGGCUAAUUUUUGUAUUUUUAGUAGAGAUGGGGUUUCACCAUAUUGGCCAGGGUGGUCUCAAAUCACUUGACCUCAUGAUCCACCCGACUCGGCCUCCCAAAAUGCUGGGAUUACAGGUGUGAACUACUGCGUCCGGCCAUCUUUAUUCCUUUCUAAGGACGUUUGAGGCCAACCCUGUCUUCCUCAAAAGCUAAACAAAUGUGUUCUUACGUAACGUGUAUGUAACCAAGUCUCCUAGCAGAUGAUGAUGGUUAGAUAAUAGAGAAAACAAUUUGAACAGGUAGGUAUAUAUGGAUAUAAUCAGUAAAAAUGAUAGGUGGUAGCCUUGUCAAAAAUCUGCGUUUUUUAAGAGGAUGUUAGUGACCCAAAUCUGUUUUUCUCGUUUUGGUGUUGGGAGUAUUUGUUAGUCCUGCACAUUUGCAAACUGAUGUCCGAAAACUAUAUUGUCUUGGUUUCGUUUGUACCUGACCAUACAAAAUGAUAAAAAUCCCAAGUAACUAAGCAUGAUUGACUUUUUGUAAGUGUUAAUAUUAGUUGUUAAUCAUUUACUUGAUCUUUAUUUGCAUAUGAUAUGCAAAAUGUUUAAAUUUUAUUAGAGACAAUUUGAAAUUUGUGAAUUCUAGGUAUUUGAACGUUUUUCUUAGAAUUGGGAAACCACUCAUUUUGGCAGUAGUUUGCUGUACCCAGUUUUGGGGGCGCCUUGUGUUAAAACCAAAUACCUACUGAACUUAAAAAAGAGGUUAUUAGGUAACAUUGUGUUAAUGUAUAUGUUUGUUUCCUGGUUUUUCCUUGUCAGAGUUUUUCUCCUUUACUAAUGUGAUGCAUUCACCCAGUUUUUUCAUUUCAUUAGCUAUUUUUUGAGUUUGUUUUGCCUAAUUGCACCUUACUGUGUUCACUUUUGCAAACUUGAUGUAAAAUUUGACUUUUCGGGAGCAUCAUCCCAAUAAUCUCAAAACGGAAGGAAUAGGAUCUGAACUUUUUAGGUUAGAACUUCUGAAGUCUAAUUCUACAGCACUUUUGAGCAUUUAUUUCUUUUUUGGGUCACAAAACUUGGAAUGGGAUUUGGGUAUUUGAGUAAUGGGUUAAACAUAUAUAUUGAUUAGUUCUGGAAUUGAGUGACUUUAAGAUGCUUAUCAGACACUUCUGGAGAUCCCAGCAAGAGGCAGAUUCGGUUUCUGGUUUCAUAGAGUUUACAGUCACUGAACAAGUCUUUAAAAUAAGUAGCAAAUUCUAAGUUGGGGAUAGGUGAGGCUUCUUGGGUAGACACCCUGUCUGUGUUCCCGGCCAAGACUUGAUGAUUCUGAUAGAUGUACUGGAAAUGCUGGAGAAAGACUCAGGCAAGAUAGGUAUUUUUGCUGCUCUCUCUAGUUUACCACACUGGCUUUCAGAAUUGCUUUGGGACCAGAAUCCAGGCCACCAAGGGAAGGGCUAGGCUGUGCAAGGGGAGCAGUCCUCCCCUUUGUAGGUGCCAUUUCCCAGAGCUCCUGGAAUUGUUUCUUCAGUUGUGGCAGCUGUGUAGAUCAUUUUUGUUUUACCUGUAAAGUUAAAAAAGGUUAUAGGUGUAGAAAGAGAACAAGAGGAGUGAACAAUGAAGCUUGUUUAAUCUGGAAAGUACAAAAAUGCCAGCUCAGCCCUAGGGUGUGCUAAGUGUAUAUUUUCCAUCUCUGUCGUCUCUCCCAUGGUUUACUCUUUAAACUCACUUUCCCCUUAGUCUCCCUAAUGGUAGUACUAGUAGUAAAAGUCCUAAUGAAUUAGACUAUUGUGUCUUCAUCAUCACUUCACUUCUAACUUCUUUGUUAUACAGUAAAACAACAGGAGAUGAGUUUAUGUAUGCAAGGAUUGUGUUGCAUUCAGGGAAUGAGGAGGCAGGCAGGAAAGAUCUUUGAGAAAGUCUAACCAAGAGAGUUUCCAGUUCUUCCCUCCAACCCCCAAUUGUUCUACCUCUUCUUGUCUGCGGUGUAGGCGGUGAUGCAAAUUUGAAGAUAGCUUUGAUUCGUGCACCUUUCUAUACAGAUGGGAGAGUUCUCUAUAUAGAGUUGUUCUCCCAUCAGGUGCAGGAAUCAAAAGUAUAAAAACUUGACAGAUUCCUCCCCCUGAGAAUAGCUUCUUGGGGCCAUUAGGUCCAAAGAAAUACGUUGCUUUGAUUUAGUGUUUCCACUGGGGUCUUCUGAGAUACAUUGUGAGGAAAGUUCUUUUCAAGUCUUGAGAGCUAAAGAUCCAUAGAGUAUUGUCCUUUGAGGUCACUCCAGGUCUUUCUGGUACUAAAACCUCAAAUCUGGGAACUUGGUUGGUCUAGAAACUUCUGUGCACUUUUUGUAAGAGGGCAGCAAAUCUCUUGCAUUCCUCUCAGAUAAGAAUCAGACUAGAUUCUUUGUCACAACUCUACUGUAGCUUUGAACCAAAGCUUCUAAAAUGGUUCUAGAGUAUGGUCAGCCUGUACUUGUUUUGUGUUGGCUGCUUGGCAACCUAAUUACAUCUUAGCUAAUUGCAAAGGGAGAGAGAAUCGGCAUUUGCUAGUAUAUUGUAACAAAUUCCAAUAGGGAAAGUUGUAUAUUUCUCCUAGGGUGUAAAUCAUAAUCCCUAGGGUCUAGAAAGGUUUUGAAGGGGACUUCAGUUCAUGGACAUGAAGGGACAGUUGAAGGAUUUGGGUAAGUACUUAGGAAGAAUAUACUAAUGUUUAGAGUUAUAAUGAAAUGUGUUAUAAAGUGGGUUUGAAUGUCCUGUUUUUUUGUUUUUUUUUUAAAUUGGUGUUAAAGUGCACUUUGAGGAAGGCACUCUGGUCUCUGGUCUGUCUUGAGGUUCAAUUUUAUUUUGAAAGGUGGUGCUCUGAGCAUUUUAGAGAAGAGAUGCUAUGUUAAUUCCAUAGUGAUCAGAGUAAAGUAUAAAUCAUAUUAAGUUUAUUGUGGAGGUAGUUACUGUUUAACAACCUUAUGCUUAAGUUUCCUUUACUGCGUAACUAGAGUUGAGGAAUCUUUUUUUUUUUUUUCUUUAUUCUGGGUUAUAUUAGGCUUCAUUGCUUUCAUAUGUUUUUCCUCAUAUGGAGGUGCCAGUGGUGCUGUGGCUCUGAUCUGGUUCCAGGAAAUGAGAACCUAGUCCUGAGAAAUGGAAACUUCCCCAACUCUUGCGAGUAGACGCCUUUCACACAACUAAUAACCUCAGUUGUCCAAGGCAGUUCUGUCCUAUGAUGUCUCCUCACUGAGAUAAAGCAGCCCAAAUUGCUUCAGUUUUAUGAGGUAAACUGCAUCCACAGUUUCAUUCUCCCAGCUAGAAGGAAGAAAUGAAGUGCAGUUGAUGGAAGUAGCCUUGGAUCUUUAAAACUUCUUGGAUGCUUCUUGGGGCUACCUGGUUCUUAGUGACUUGAUAAGAGUUAAAAGCCCUGUCCAAAAAGUCCCUGCUAGAAACUUGCUUGUUGGCAGGCUCAGGUCUAAUAUUGGAGCAGAACUUGAAGUGGGGAUAAUUUCAGUACUCACCCUUGGGAGUCUUGAAUUUCUCAUAGCACCAAAACAUGGCAAUGAGGAGAAGCCCUUCUCCAAGCUGGAAAAUCAUGUAGAGGAGGGGAAAGAAGAAGAGUGGUCCAAUGACUUCAGGUGGAAAGGCCACAUUGAGGAUGGUGGAACAGAGUUGGACAUUUUGGCAUCCGGUCUCCAUGCUGACAGUGCGUCUGCACCUGUGUCGGUGAAGAAAACUCCACAUAUACUCAGAAGGAACUGGAGGGAGCAACUUUGUCCCAGUGCUGCUACCAAAGAGUUUGUCAGCAGAUGGAAUCUAGACCCUGGACAGGGGUACUUUGCUGUUGCUGUUGGUGUUUGGAUGCCUUUGGUGUCUGGAUUUUUAACCCAUUCAAUACCUUCCCUCAAGUUUUUUGAAGUCUAAAGUCUCUUGUCCAGUUAGUGCAUCUGAACAUAUUGCCAGGAAAAUGUCUUGCCGAGAUUUCAGGUUCCUAGCUUCUUAUUCUUUUCCUGGAAGACUAGGACAAGAAUGAAGCCCAUGGGACAGUGGGACCUAAAAUAAUACCCAUCUCCAGGCAUGCAGUGGCUCACGUGUGUAAUCCUAGCACUUUGGAAGGCUGAGGCAGGCGGAUCACUUGAGCUCAUUAGUUCAAAACUAGCCUGGGCAACAUGGUAAAACCCUGUCUCUAGAAAAGAUAAAUCAGCUGGUCAUGGUGGCUUGUGCCUGUAGUCCCAGUUACUUGGGGGGCUGAGGCAGGAGGAUCAGUUAAGCCCUGGAGGUUGAGGCUGCAGUGAGCUGAGAAUGUGCUACUCCCCUCCAGCCUGGGCAACAGAGUGAGACCCUUUCUUAAAAAAAAAAAAAAAAACAAAACCUACCGUCCAUUGAGGCAGAAGAGAGCAGAGAGAACAUAACCCAGCAGAAAGCCAAUAAAAGGCAUCAGGGAGGAGGUGGCAAUCAAGAGUGGUGUCAUGGCAAACAUGAUGCUCUUCCCCACAUUGAUGGCAGAGAGAACUGUGACGGCCACACUGCACAAGAGAAUGAUGAUCAUCCCUCCCUGGGAAUGAAGACAAGAAGAAAAGGCAAUUAGAAGAGUUGGGGAUAGAGAGGAACAGAGGUGGGGAAGCACAGGUAGAAAUUGGAGGUGGGAAACAUUGCAAUAAAACACUGGAAGUAGAAAGGAAUAUGAAAGACCUUUAUCUUCUUUUUGGAUUCCUUUCUUUAAAUUUUUUUGAAAUUAUUAAUAUUAGAGACAGGGUCUUACUAUAUUGCCCAGGCUGGUCUUACUCCCGGACUCUAGCGGUCCUGCUGCCUUGGCCUCCCAAAGUGCUGGGAUUACAGGUGUGAGCCACUGCACCCAGCCCAUCUUUUUAGAUUUCUUAUCAGUAGCUAGGAAGCUUGGGGACAGCUGAUUAACACUUUGAUUAUUACAAACUCAGCCAAGCACAGUUUCUGCUUUUGACACAUCUCUGGAUAGCAGACUUUUAGUGAAGUGUUACGUGAGGCUAUUCAGGACUCCUGCAAAAUGGAUAUUAUAAAAGUUUAAAAGUCAGUAUUUUUGGAACUUACAUACACAUUCCUACAAUACUGUCAUUGUUUCACAUACUUUGAAACUCAUGAGAACUUGUCAUACAUAUUCGUCUCAAAUACCUUGAUUACAGGUAGGGAUUUUAUCCAUUUUAGGAUCAAUUUGACUUCUGGAAAUUGCCAAGAGUCAUUAAAACACAGCUGGUAAACAAGGUGGAUGAUCAAGCCCGGAAAUACGGUUUUAAACCCAAAAUGAUGUCUAAUAAUAAGGGGACAAACCUACUUUCUUGAGUGACCUGCAAAUUGAAUAUGAAGGAGGUUCCCAAAAGAACUUUCAUAAAUAUCUUGGGUGAUAACAUCAUUGGAAACUAUGCAGGUCUACUCUGAAUGAAAUUAUAGGGUUUUUCAUUGUGCAACAUAGGAUGCAACCUUUCAAAGUGCAUGUGCACUCCAUGCACUUUGUACUUCCCAGUGUGCAUUUUAGAGAAUUGCGUGCUCCAAAAUGAUAAACAGGUAUGUGUAAAUUUAAGACUGUCCCUUUUAUCUCCUGAGUAAAGAAAUACUUAACAAACUUUUCUCAAACUUAUCAUGUUAUUUUGUAAUAGUUAUAUGUGUUGUUCACUUUUUGGUUCAUUCACAUGUGUUGCAUUUUAUAUUUCCUAGUAACAUUUUAAAAAAGUAGUAAAAUAUGUAUAGCAAAGUUUGCCAUUUUAAUCACUUUUGAGUGUACAGUUCAGUGGCAUUAAGUACAUUCAUAAUGUCCGAACGACAUUUUAGCAUAUUGCUCAAAUUUCAGCUGCACAGCUUUAUGUUUCUAAUACUUGUUGCAACUGAUGUGAUCAUAUAAAACAUCACCUAUACCAAUUAGUGGUCCUAUCCCAGCAUAGGAAGGACUUUCACACAUCUUUUGAAUAACCAUGUGCUUCAAGUUUUAUUAAAAGACUUAUUAGCUAGUGAACUUCUCAGUUUACCUUUGCAUUUUUAGUUGAUCUCCCCUUUUGGAUUUCUGUCUUUCGAAUUUGUCCUUUACCCAACAGUCAAAUAGUUUUUAAUCUCCAUCAAGAGUGUAGUGGAUAAUGUAGGAGACAUUGAGUUACAGGAAUUGUCCACGAAUCCAGAAGCCCUCUUCUUCUGUAUAGGCAUUCACUCUUUUUCUCUCACUCAUGUUCUCUGACUCUUGGGGACUGCACAGUUGUGGUUAUGAACACAGACUGAUAUGAUCCAGGUGGGAAAGCUGGCUCUGCUAGUCUCCAGGUUUGUAAGCUUUGGGGAGUCACUCAACCUGAGUGAGGUUGACAGCAUAGGACCUGGCAUAUAAGAACCGCUCACUAAACUGUAACUCCUAUUAUUACUCAAAGGGGAGGAAUUGACAUUCUAGAGGUUCCUGUCACUCUCACUGCUGCCAUCUCUGGAAAUUUAUCCUGUCCACAACCCUUGUCUCUUGCUGAGACAAGUGGCCCUGGGUAGUUGCUUCUCCAUAGGCUACCAUGUUUCGUGCCACCUGACUUCAUUGCCCUGCUCACAACUGGUAUGAGUGCUCAUUCAUGGGCAGCCAGUCCAUUGGCUUACACAUGAGAUGACAUGUCCACACACUACCCACAAAGGUGACCUGGACAGGCUGGUGAGUGGUAGAAAUAAUCAGAUUCUCUGAUUUAGGAAGUUUGCAGGAUUACAGAGAGGGAAGCAAUAGCAGGGACAAGUGUCAAAACACACAGAGGUCUGGGAGCAAUAGAAGCCACAAGUUGGCAGAAGUUAUAAGACAAAGGGGAGUUAGGGGUCAGUUCAUCAGUAGCAGCAGGUGUGGGAAAUGCAUGAGUAGAGUGUUGAGUCAAUGAAAUGGUGGUAUCCUUAUUAAAGAAUGGUGGAUGGCUUAUGGUGAAAGUGGCUCAUGGACCAUGUCAUUCUCAGAUUCAUCACCCUUCUAGCCACAUAGCCUUUGGAUAAACCCUUGCAUGGGUAAGUUAAAAAUUACUUGAAUUGCCUUUCAAAAUGAGCAUUCCUGAAAUUGUAUCUUGGUAUAUCUAAAUGUGACCUUCCACCAGCGAAUGCAGCUGGUUGAACGCGGUGUGAGCAGAUACCUGCUGCCAGAGCUAGUUAUUGAAAGUUGGGUUAUUUUGAUUUGCAAGGUCCAAGGAGGGUUAUGUGUGCAUAAGAGGCUAGGACAGUCAUUUGUUCGUUUUCCAGUUUGGCACUCACUAUAUUAUUUAUGGGACAGGGUGACGAAGGAUGAGCACAGGCCUCGAAGAGCCAUAGAAGCAAGGAAACCUCAGCCUUUGCAGCUUGACCCACAUGUUCGUCUCUGCAUCGUCACAGGAGUGAUUCCAGUUUUGGAAUAUAGGAAGAUCAGUGUAGCUGUUGACUUUGUGUUUGUUUAACCCUGGAGGUUUAGCCAGGGGCAAAAUGGGUCCAGGGCAUGCCUGGGUUUUUUAGAUCACUUUUUAUGUAGUCCCUUAUUACUAGUCUCGGUCUUUCCAGCCAAGGUAUUUCUUAGCCCUUUUAAUGUUCUCUGGCUUCAUUUUGACUUCAUUUCCUCUGUGGCAUUGAGUAGUGAAUGUGCAACACAACAGGAACAGACUGGUUGAGAUAAUCCUGGCUCCGCCAAGUAACUUUUCUGGGCCUCAGUUACUCUAUCUGCAAAUUGGGAAUAAGGCAGGAGACUGAACUUCAUCUUAAAGGCUUCUCUAGCUUUAAGAUCUGAGAUUCUCGGCCAGGUGUGGUGGCUCACGCCUGUAAUCCCAGCACUUUGGGACGCCAAGGCGGGCAGAUCACAAGGUCAGGAGAUCAAGACCAUCCUGGCUAACACGGUGAAACCCCACCUUUACUAAAAAAUAAAAAAAUUGGCCGGGUAUGGUGGCGGGCGCCUGUAGUCCCAGCUACUUGGGAGGCUGAGGCAGGAGAAUGGCGUGAACUCGGGAGGUGGAGCUUGCAGUGAGCUGAGGUCGUGCCACUGCACUCCAACCUGGGCGACAGAGUGAGACGCCGUCUCAAAAAAAAAAAAAAAAAGGUCUUGAGACUCUACUUUAUGCAACCUCAGAGAAACACUUUUAAAGCUACUCUGAGGUAGAAAGGAGACAUGUUCUCACAUCAGUUGUCAUUAGCACUAUGACUUGGUAUUCUGGUUCCCAGUUUUCCCACCUAUAAAAUGGGGGAGGGCAGAGUAGCAUUAAAUGAUAGUAGUGGUCACUUCACAUUUUAAUAUUCUUUAUAUUUUACAUGCAUUUCUUUAAGAUCAUUUGUGGGUGUAUAGGAUUUUUAAAAAAGCAAUUUUAUGCACCCCACAAACUAUCUUAAAGAAAUGAAAUGAUGCACACAAACAUGUUUCUCUGUGUACGCUGUUUUUCUGCUGGUGUGUGGAAGAGCAGCAGACAGGACUUGCCCUUCAUUCCUUUAUUUAUUCUCAGGCAUUAGCUAUGGGGGCACUGUGAUAGGUGCUGUGGAUUCAGUGUUAAGACAUAGCCUUAUGGUCUUGCUUCUUGAAAUGAGUGGGGAAUAAAAAUGAACAGAUAUUCUUAAUGCAGUGUAAUAAUUGCUACAGGGGUUAGCUGGAGUGUUGGGAGCUAUGGGAAUGAAUAGGACAAGCAUCUUACUCAGGCUUAGGAGGUUAAGGAAGGCUUCCUGGGGGAGGCGCUAUUUGUGUUGAGACUUAAAGGAUGAGUGGGAGUGAUCCAGUGAAAGAUGGUGAGUGGGGUGAGAAUUGGGAAGAAGAGUGUUCCAGGUGAAGAGAAGGGCACGUGCAAAGAGAAAAGAGCUGAGACUGGUGAGGUCAGUUGAGACCAAAUCAAGAAGUGCCACAUUAAGGAGUUUAAACUCUAUCCUAGGGGGAAGGAGUCAAUGAGAGGCUUUAAGCAGUGGAGUGACAUGAUAGAAUUUGUACUUUACAUCUUCACCCUCAGGUUAAAACUGGGUGAGGAGGUUGGAUGAGAAGGCCAUUUGAGUUGUCUAGUGAGAGGUAAGGAUGGAGAGGAAUGAAUGGAUUCCAGCAACAGAAAGUGGAAUCGACAGUCAUUGAUUAGAUGGGUGUGAGUGGUGAGGGAGAAGGGAACAUUGAGAAUGACUUCCAGUUUCUGGUUGGGGCAACUGGGCACACACAGUGCCACUGACUGAGAUAACCACACGGGGAGGAGAUGACUUUAAUUUAACAUAUAUUGAGUUUUAAAUGCCCGAGGUAUAUUCAGAUAGAAAGAUCUGGUAGAUAAUAAAUGGAUUCUGGAGUGAGAGUAGAGUUGAUGUCUGAUGAUGCUGUUCUGGAAGUCUCAGCUUGCAGAUGGUAAUUGCAGACCUGAGAGGGACCAGAUCCUGGGCUAGGAGAGGUCUGGUGAGAAAGGCAGAAAGCUUGGUCUGAAUGCAGAGAAGUGCCUUUGACCAGAGGAACUCAUAAGGGAGUCUGAAGGUCAUGAGAGGUAGGAGGAAAGCAGCAGAGCUUAGAGUCACUAAAGCUGACAGAGAAGGCUUUUGAGGAGGAGGCAGUGGUCAAUUAUGUCCAAUGCUGCUAGAAGGUCAAGGAAGGAUUGAGAAAUGACCAUUGGAUUUGGCAAAGAAAGUGGAGCAGGUGGUUAUCAAGAUGCUGGGUGGAUGGGAGACCAAGGAGAGAAGAGAGGGAUUCAAAUAAUGGAAAUGAAUUGCUGAGGGCCUGGUCACUCAUGAGAGAACUCUGGCAGUGUCAUGGGGGAAAUGGAAGGUGUUUGAGAGGAAACAAUUGACAGAGAGAGAGAGGAGUGAGGGGGACUGUUCCUGAAGCCUGGCUAGGAAGGAGAGCAAAGGGAGGUAUUAGGUGGAAUGGGAGAUGGAUUCCACAAAAAAUCCCCCUGAGAGAUACUUCUUGUUUUGUAUUUUGAAGAUAGGAGAUAUGUGAGUUCGUAUCAAAGCUGAUUGUGAAGAACCAAUACAGAGAUGUUUUAGAAAUGAGAGAGAGAGGGGAGGCUGCUGGGCCAGGGGCAUAAUCAAUAAAAGGAGGUCUCUGAGUACAAGGGUAGAGAGAAUGAUGCAAUCCAGGGCUGAGAUGGGGUGACUGGCCACAGAAAGGAGGAGGGAUGAUGCCUUCAUGUCCUCCAGCAGGCGGGAAGGGGAAGCUGUGGCCAUGGCACUGGGACAGGGCAAGGGCAAAAACUACUCUUGAGACAAUGGUAGUGUGAAAAUAAAACCCCCCUGAAAACUGGACUCUUGGCUUCUUUGUUCCAGGCCCAAAGCUGCUGCCAAACUUUGGGGUUCUCAGCAGCACGCAUUGCAGACCAGGCCAGAGGCAUUGAUCCAGGGGCAGAGACGGUACAGGAUGUCAGGAGGUCAAGUCCUUCCUGAGGACCAGGAUGACCCCCUGGCCCUGGGGGAUGAAUAGUGAGCCAACGGGGAGGCUGGCAGGGACCAAACUCCAAUGUUGGAAAUGUUGGUGGAGAGACCAUAGCUGCACUCCAGGAGUUCUGCACACAAAGAAGUGGCAUGAUACCCUGUCUGUGACCACAGUGCUUCUCAAAACCUUUGUGGCCUUAAUUCACUCCGCUUCCCACCCCAUCCCUCUCCUGAAAUGCUGGGAAUGGGUACACUACCUGUCCUCAUCUAGCUUCUUGCCACAUCAGCCAAAUUUGCCCUUGGUGCCGGCUGAACUCCUCUAUUCAGGCUUCUCCUCAGGUUUACCUAAAUACCUCAAGCCCUUCCUUUUUAAGAAGGCUCCUUGACCACUCCAGCCCUCACUGUUCCCAUCUCCUUGCCUUCUGCAAAUACUUGCGUGUACACUGGAAUUGGAUCUUGUUUCUCUCGUGUGUUACUUCAUUUUCUUUCUUUUUUUUUUUUUCAUUUUAGAGAUGGAGUCUUGCUCUGUGGCCCAGGCUGGAGUGCAGUGGCACGAUCUCAGCUCACUGCAAUCCCCACCUCCCUGGUUCAAGCGAUUCUGCUGCCUCAGCCUCCUGAGUAGCUGGGAUUACAGGCACUUGCUACCAUGCCUGGCUAAUUUUUUUUUUUUUUUAAUAUUUUUAAUAGAGACGGGGUUUUGCCAUGUUGGUCAGGCUGGUCUCAAACUUCUGACCUCAAGUGAUCCACCUGCCUCAACUUCCCAAAGUGUUGGGAUUAUAGGUGUGAGCCACCGCUCCAGCCUCAUGUGUUACUUCACUUUCUGCAGACAUCAAACUCUGGUGACAGUGAAUCCUCAGCGUGCGUAGCAUAAAACUUAGCAUCUAGUAGGAGCAUAUAUAUGUUUAUUAUUAAUAUAAUGAUUAUACCUUA
Molecule: RNA transcript, 12384 nt
Organism: Pongo pygmaeus (Bornean orangutan)
Lineage: Eukaryota; Metazoa; Chordata; Mammalia; Primates; Hominidae
Gene: SRSF5
Gene name: serine and arginine rich splicing factor 5
Exons: 9
Source: RefSeq, a predicted model, not a curated record